Molecule: ribosomal RNA, 497 nt
Filed under: uncultured bacterium
Lineage: Bacteria
Description: partial 16S ribosomal RNA
Rfam family: Bacterial small subunit ribosomal RNA
Source: RNAcentral
GAUGAACGCUGGCGGCGUGCCUAAUACAUGCAAGUCGAGCGAACAGACGAGGAGCUUGCUCCUCUGACGUUAGCGGCGGACGGGUGAGUAACACGUGGAUAACCUACCUAUAAGACUGGGAUAACUUCGGGAAACCGGAGCUAAUACCGGAUAAUAUAUUGAACCGCAUGGUUCAAUAGUGAAAUACGGUUUUGCUGUCACUUAUAGAUGGAUCCGCGCCGCAUUAGCUAGUUGGUAAGGUAACGGCUUACCAAGGCGACGAUACGUAGCCGACCUGAGAGGGUGAUCGGCCACACGGGAACUGAGACACGGACCAGACUCCUACGGGAGGCAGCAGUAGGGAAUCUUCCGCAAUGGGCGAAAGCCUGACGGAGCAACGCCGCGUGGGUGAUGAAGGUCUUCGGAUCGUAAAACUCUGUUAUUAGGGAAGAACAAAUGUGUAAGUAACUAUGCACGUCUUGACGGUACCUAAUCAGAAAGCCACGGCUAACUACGUG